Colossoma macropomum (tambaqui) is the source of this 164-nucleotide small nuclear RNA. RefSeq annotates it as U1 spliceosomal RNA. The transcript has a single exon. The record is from RefSeq and is a predicted model, not a curated record. Lineage: Eukaryota; Metazoa; Chordata; Actinopteri; Characiformes; Serrasalmidae.
AUACUUACCUGGCAGGGGUGAUAUUAUGAUCAUGAAGGUGGUUCACCCAGGGCAAGGCUCUGCCAUUGCACUUCGGUUGUGCUGACCCUUAUGAAUUCCCCAAGUGCGGUAAUCUCGACUGCAUAAUUUCUGAUAGUGGGGGACUGCAUUCGUGCUCUCUCUUG